GUUCUCUAUGAUAAUUGCCCACAUGAUGGACUUUCAGACUGCUGUGCUAGAGUUUCACUUGGCUGUCCUCCAGGGGAAGAUGCUAGCUACAUUACUCAUGCAACUUAUUUUUCACUAAAUGUUGUUUGUAAAGGUUUUGAGCCUUAUGAGGGUGAUCGAGUAGAAGUUGCAUUUUCCAUGCAGCCAGACACAUGGACUAGAAAGGCCCUUUUGGUGAAACCUCUGAGACAUAAGCAUGUAUAUGAGGUCUACAUUACUAGUGUGCACGGAAGAAAUGGGGUUAUAGAUGAUAGUAUCUUUUUCACCUUGGAUUCUCUGAAACUUCCUGAUGGCUACAUACCUCAGGUAUCCGACCUCGUGGAUGCGGUCGUGCUGGAAAGCAUUCAGUCCUGCUAUCUUUGGAGAGCAAUUUCUGUGACUCCAGUGAAAAGGCAGUAAUAAGAAAAGAAUGUUUAUUCACAGUUUCUCUUUUUUUUUUUCUCUUGGCAGUUAAGGGCCUUGAUUUAAAUGUAUUUUGAAAAUAAGUGGCUAGUUAAACUUCAAUAUUUAAUUCAGGUAUAACCUUUAAAGUACAGUUAAUUCAAAUACAGUCUAAAUGGAAUAUAUCUUCUGAAAAGUGCUCAGCAUUUAAAAUUCUUGAUU
Talpa occidentalis (Iberian mole) is the source of this 642-nucleotide long non-coding RNA. RefSeq lists it as uncharacterized. The transcript is spliced from 3 exons. NCBI's taxonomy places the organism in Eukaryota, Metazoa, Chordata, Mammalia, Eulipotyphla, Talpidae. The record is from RefSeq and is a predicted model, not a curated record.